AAACUGAGGGCUGGAGAUCAGCUGCAGACACUUCAGCUACUAGCGUAUCAGGAGACCUGAGGUGUUAUAGGCACUCAGUGCAAAGCAGCUUCGGACUCCAACCUAUAGGAAAGCAUGGCUGGUGAGUCAGUUACCACACUGGCUUUUCUGCUCUGCUGUCUGGGCCUCCCAGCUGUGCUCCGUCUGUCUCUCUCUGAAGCACGUAGACUGAUGGUCAGAGAUUCUGUAACUGGGGCAUCAGCUACACUGACAUCCAGUGAGCGGGACUCAGACCAGCUGAUGAAUCUCUGAGGUGGAGGUGUGACUGAGGGUCUUACUCUGAUGGUCAGAGAUUCUGUAACUGGGGCAUCAGCUACACUGACAUCCAGUGAGCCGGACUCAGACCAGCUGAUGAAUCUCUGAGGUGGAGGUGUGACUGAGGGUCUUACUCUGAUGGUCAGAGAUUCUGUAACUGGGGCAUCAGUUACACUGACAUCCAGUGAGCGGGACUCAGACCAGCUGAUGAAUCUCUGAGGUGGAGGUGUGACUGAGGGUCUUACUCUGAUGGUCAGAGAUUCUGUAACUGGGGCAUCAGCUGCACUGACAUCCAGUGAGCGGGACUCAGACCAGCUGAUGAAUCUCUGAGGUGGAGGUGUGACUGAGGGUCUUACUCUGAUGGUCAGAGAUUCUGUAACUGGGGCA
Brienomyrus brachyistius is the source of this 681-nucleotide long non-coding RNA. RefSeq lists it as uncharacterized. The record is from RefSeq and is a predicted model, not a curated record. NCBI's taxonomy places the organism in Eukaryota, Metazoa, Chordata, Actinopteri, Osteoglossiformes, Mormyridae. The transcript is spliced from 3 exons.